UGAGGUUAAGUUAACAAGGGCGCAUGGUGAAUGCCUUGGCACUAGGAGCCGAUGAAGGACGGGACUAACACCGAUAUGCUUCGGGGAGCUGUACGUAAGCUAUGAUCCGGAGAUUUCCGAAUGGGGCAACCCAGCAGUUUUAAUCAACUGUUACCACUAGAUGAAUUCAUAGUCUAGUUGGAGGUAAACGCUGUGAACUGAAACAUCUCAUUAGCAGCAGGAAUAUAAAGAAAUUUCGAUUCCCUAAGUAGCGGCGAGCGAACGGGGAACAGCCCAAACCAAAGUGCUUGCACUUUGGGGUUGUAGGACUGAACAUUUGAGUUACCAAAGAACUUGAUAGUCGAAGGAUUUGGGAAAAUCCGCCAUAGAUGGUGAUAGCCCAGUAGAUUAAAUCAAAUUCUCUCAGUUCAGGAUCCUGAGUACGGCGGAACACGUGAAAUUCCGUCGGAAUCCGGGAGGACCAUCUCCCAAGGCUAAAUACUACCUAGUGACCGAUAGUGAACCAGUACCGUGAGGGAAAGGUGAAAAGCACCCCGGGAGGGGAGUGAAAUAGUUCCUGAAACCAUGUGCCUACAAUAAGUCAGAGCGCGUUAAUGCGUGAUGGCGUGCCUUUUGUAGAAUGAACCGGCGAGUUAUGAUCCCGUGCAAGGUUAAGACUAAAAAGUCGGAGCCGUAGCGAAAGCGAGUCUGAAAUGGGCGUUUUGAGUACGAGGUUAUAGACCCGAAACCAGGUGACCUAUCCAUGUCCAGGUUGAAGGUGCGGUAAAACGCACUGGAGGACCGAACCCGUGUAAGUUGAAAAUUGCUGGGAUGAGGUGUGGAUAGCGGUGAAAUUCCAAACGAACUUGGAGAUAGCUGGUUCUCUCCGAAAUAGCUUUAGGGCUAGCCUCGGAAUUAGGAUCAUGGAGGUAGAGCACUAUUUGGACUAGGGGCCCGUCUUGGGUUACUGAAUUCAGAUAAACUCCGAAUGCCAUUGAUUCAUAUCCGGGAGUCAGACGAUGAGUGAUAAGAUCCACCGUCGAAAGGGGAACAGCCCAGACCAUCAGUUAAGGUCCCUAAAUGUAUGCUAAGUGGAAAAGGAUGUGGAGUUGCAUAGACAACUAGGAUGUUGGCUCAGAAGCAGCCACCAUUUAAAGAGUGCGUAAUAGCUCACUAGUCGAGUGAUCCUGCGCCGAAAAUGUACCGGGGCUAAGCAUACUACCGAAACCAUGGAUGCGACCAUUAGGUCGCGUGAUAGGAGAGCGUUCUAAGGGCGGUGAAGCAAGAUCGUGAGGACUUGUGGAGCGCUUAGAAGUGAGAAUGCCGGUAUGAGUAGCGAAAGAUAGGUGAGAAUCCUAUCCACCGAAUGACUAAGGUUUCCUGGGGAAGGCUCGUCCUCCCAGGGUUAGUCGGGACCUAAGUCGAGGCCGAGAGGCGUAGACGAUGGAUAACAGGUUGAGAUUCCUGUACUAGUUAAGUGCGUUUGAGCAAUGGAGGGACGCAGGAGGCUAAGAUGUGCAUUCUGUUGGAUUAGAAUGUCCAAGCAGUAAGUCUUGUGAAGAGUCAAAUGCUUUUCACUUUAAGGACAAGCUGUGAUGGGGAGCGAAAUUUAGUAGCGAAGCGUCUGAUGUCACACUGCCGAGAAAAGCUUCUAGUGAGUACUUAACUACCCGUACCGCAAACCGACACAGGUAGUCGAGGAGAGAAUCCUAAGGUGAGCGAGUGAACUCUCGUUAAGGAACUCGGCAAAAUGACCCCGUAACUUCGGGAGAAGGGGUGCUGAUCGCAAGAUCAGCCGCAGUGAAUAGGCCCAGGCGACUGUUUAUCAAAAACACAGGUCUCUGCAAAAUCGUAAGAUGACGUAUAGGGGCUGACGCCUGCCCGGUGCUGGAAGGUUAAAAGGAUGGGUUAGCUUCGGCGAAGCUCAGAAUUGAAGCCCCAGUAAACGGCGGCCGUAACUAUAACGGUCCUAAGGUAGCGAAAUUCCUUGUCGGGUAAGUUCCGACCCGCACGAAAGGCGUAACGAUCUGGGCACUGUCUCAACGAGAGACUCGGUGAAAUUAUAUUGUCCGUGAAGAUGCGGACUACCCGCGACAGGACGGAAAGACCCCAUGGAGCUUUACUGUAGCUUGAUAUUGAGUGUUUGUACAGCUUGUACAGGAUAGGUAGGAGCCAUAGAAACCGGAACGCUAGUUUCGGUGGAGGCGUUGGUGGGAUACUACCCUCGCUGUAUGACCACUCUAACCCGCACCACUAAUCGUGGUGGGAGACAGUGUCAGGUGGGCAGUUUGACUGGGGCGGUCGCCUCCUAAAAAGUAACGGAGGCGCCCAAAGGUUCCCUCAGAAUGGUUGGAAAUCAUUCGCAGAGUGUAAAGGCACAAGGGAGCUUGACUGCGAGACAGACAGGUCGAGCAGGGACGAAAGUCGGGCUUAGUGAUCCGGUGGUACCGUAUGGAAGGGCCAUCGCUCAACGGAUAAAAGCUACCCUGGGGAUAACAGGCUUAUCUCCCCCAAGAGUCCACAUCGACGGGGAGGUUUGGCACCUCGAUGU
RNAcentral lists this ribosomal RNA (2530 nucleotides) under Lactiplantibacillus plantarum. Its description in RNAcentral is "bacterial LSU rRNA". It matches the Rfam family "Bacterial large subunit ribosomal RNA", at positions 1 to 2532 of the family's 2925-position model. The record is from RNAcentral. Lineage: Bacteria; Bacillati; Bacillota; Bacilli; Lactobacillales; Lactobacillaceae.